GCGGGAGUAGCUCAGUUGGUAGAGCGGCAGCCUUCCAAGUCUCACUUUGUCGAGCACUGUGCUCUGAACUCAGUGGUCCCGCA
This 83-nucleotide transfer RNA is filed under the name Chloroflexota bacterium. RNAcentral's name for it is "tRNA-Gly". Lineage: Bacteria; Bacillati; Chloroflexota. The record is from RNAcentral.